This is a non-coding RNA of Odocoileus virginianus texanus, 2567 nucleotides long. Lineage: Eukaryota; Metazoa; Chordata; Mammalia; Artiodactyla; Cervidae. The record is from RefSeq and is a predicted model, not a curated record.
UCUAUAAAACUACAUCAAACACUAAAGCCUUUUCCAUUUAGCAGGUAAAGCGUAAUUGCUUAAUAAAUUAUCUUAAUUUCACCUUGAGCCUAAAAUAUCUGUGUUUAGUAUGUUUUCCCUGCUGGUAAAAGGUGGGCUAGAAGUUGAAAAAUACUAAAAUCAGGCAAAACUAGGGUCGUGGUUUAAAAGCUAUUUUACAUUCUACCCCAGUCCAUGUUGUACAUCGGAGAGACUAUUCCAGCUAAUAUCUCAUCCGUGUUUAAAAUGUUUAGCCUCUAUAAUUUUAUAAAAACUUUUGUCAGAUCUAUACACUCAUUUUAAAAUGCUUUUUAAUUUCAAAACUUUAUAUCAGAACUUAUUUGAGGACGAAAUUAGGUGGUGGCAAGCUGUAAAAAUCUCCAAAUACCCAAAGUAUUUUUAAAACUACGGGUGGUUACCAUUAGUGAUUUUCUUAAAAGGAUAGGCCUAAAGGAAAGAACCUAUACAAAGUGAUUGUGUUUUUUUUUCUCUCCGUAAAUGCAGCUUUAACCUAAAGUUCAGAGAAUAAGUUUGCUAAUAAAAGCAAUGACCUAGCAAAAUGUUUUAUUCCAUCAUUGCUAUGGAAACCAAAGUAUUCAACAGUUCCUUUGAAUGGGCUGCUGGAUUAGUGUGAGGACUUGAAUCUCCCCAGGCUAGAUGUUACUAUGGAAAUUGAGUUUUGAUAAAUGAAGUAGUUAUCUCUAACUGCUGCAUUAAAAAGUAAAAGCCUUUGAACAAAGGUGAGAAGCCGUACAAAUGCACCUGGGAAGGCUGCGACUGGAGGUUCGCGCGCUCGGACGAGCUGACCCGCCACUACCGCAAGCACACGGGGGCCAAGCCCUUCCAGUGCGGCGUGUGCAACCGCAGCUUCUCCCGCUCCGACCACCUGGCGCUGCACAUGAAGAGGCACCAGAACUGAGCUGCCCGCACCGCCGCCGCCCGCCCCACGCAGCCCACUCGGCAGAAGUUUAAACUACACGAUUGAUUCUAUAUAUAUAUAAAAGAGAACGAAAACACAAAACUGGAAAUGUAUAUUUUGUAUAUUUGAGAAAACAGGGAAUACAUUGUGUUAAUACCAAAGUGUUUGGUCCUUGUCCGAAUCUGGAAUGCUUGCUAUAUGCUGGCUUGACCCAGGCGGAUGCCAUCAUCUCAGACAGGCAGCCCCAUCUCAGUGCGGGCUGGGCAUGCAAGGGUGUGUUUGAAGUGUUCUUUCCCAAAGCACCACCAUUUAAUGUGACAGUGUUUAGCAAACAAGUCCGUUGGGCACAAGAAGACAGCUGGAUUGUGUGUCAAGAUUUUGCUUGACAUCAGAGGAGUUUUUUUUCAAUACAAGAUAAUUCUUUAGAGGUACGCAGCAUACCUGGCAAUUCACAAAUAGCCAUUGAACAAAUGUGUUGUUUUGUUUUUUUUUUAUAUGAGUUGCCUAUAUUUGCUAUUCAAAAUUUUGUAAAUAUGCAAAUCAGCUUUAUAGUUUAUUACACGUUUUCUAAGAUUCUUUUGGGGAAAAAAAUCAUAAAUAAUUCUUUUGAAAAUAACCGUGAAUACAUUUACAGUUAGAACUUGUGGUAAGAUACCUCUUAAAACCUUACCAAAUUCAUUUCUGUGGUAGGUAGAAAUAAAUCACUCAAAUGAACUUCAAAAGCAGAUUUCAUGCACUGAUUAAAAUCGGAUUGUUUAUUUUAAAUACAAGCUACAUUUUAUAUGAAUUGUGAACUCAAGAGCUUAAAGAUAGAAUAUUCAAAAGUUAAAACAUCUUAAAAUAAGCUAAACAGUAUCAUUUUUGAAAAGAAGGACAUAUGUAGUUUUCACUUGGGAAUGUUGAAUUUAUGAUACAGUUUUCAUAUACGGAAACGUUGAAUUAAUGAUGCAGUUUUCAUAUACUGAGAUGUUUGCUUGUGCAGUACAAUUGGUUAAAUGCCAAUUUAUGUGGACUUUGCAUGUAAUAUACAGUGAGACACAGUAAUUUUACCUAAAUUACAGUGCAGUUUAGUUAAUCUAUUGUUAACACUGACUCAGUGUCUGCCUUUAAUUAUAAAUGACAUGUUGAAAACUUAAGGAAGUAAGUGCUACAUAUAUGCAAUAUAAAAUAGUAAUGUGACACUGAUGCUGUUAACCAAAGGGCAGAAUAAAUAAGCAAAAUGCCAAAAGGGGUCUUAAUUGAAAUGAAAAUUUAAUUUUGUUUUUAAAAUAUUGUUUAUCUUUAUUUAUUUUGUGGUAAUAUAGUAAAUUUUUUUAGAAAAUUUUCAUAACGAUAAAUUAUAGUUUUGUUUGUUAGAAAAGUUUCUCUUAAAAACGUGUACAUAGAUGACAAAUGGUGUAAAUAUUUUGUAAGAGGCUUCAAAAUGUUUAUACGUGGAAACAUACUUACAGGAAAAGCAUAAAUUGGUUGCUGUUUUGCUUCUUUUUCCCUCUUAUUUUUGUAUUGUGGUCAUUUCCUAUGCAAAUAAUGGAGCAAACAGCUGUAUAGUUGUAGAAUUUUUUGAGAGAAUGAAAUGUUUAUAUAUAUAAACGACAAUUUUUUUUUGAAAAUAAAAAGUGCCUAAAAGAUU